AUUUGAUUUGGUUAAAGAGAAAAAUUACCUUAUUUUUUUAUACAAUAAUUAAAAAAGAAAAUGUAGAAAAUUUAAUUUAUUUAAUAAAAAAAUAUUAUUAAGAAUAAGGAGAAAAAUUCUAGCUAAAUUUGUGCCAGCAGCAGCGGUUAGACAAAUAGAGAUUUCUUUUUUUAAUAAUUUAAAAGUUUAAAUUAAAAUAUUAUAAAAAAAAAAGGUGAAAUUUAUUUUUUAUUAAAUUUAAAAAUAAAAAAAAUAAAAAUUCUUAUUAUAAACUAGGAUUAGAUACCCUAUUAUUAAGAACAAAAAAUUGUAAGUAAAUAAUAAUUACGAAAGCAAAAAAUUAUGGCGGUAUUUUAAGCUUUUCAGAGGAAUUUGCUCUGUAAUGGAUAAAACACCUAAAUCUUACUUAAAUUAGUUAGAAUUCAGUUUGUAUACCACUAUUAAAAUAAUAAUUUACUAUUAUUAUUAAUAUUCUUUUAUUAAGAAAAAAGUUAAGUCAAGGUGCAGCAAAAAUUUAAGAAUGAAGUGAAUUACAUUUCUUAAAAGAAAAAAAAAUUGAAAUUAAAAUUUAGGAUUUGAUAGUAAAAUUAAAAUAAAAAGUUAAUUUGAAUUAAGCUCUAAGAUAUGUACAUAUCGCCCGUCACUCUUUUAUAAGAUAAGUCGUAACAAAGUUAAAAUACUGGAAAGUGUUUUA
Molecule: non-coding RNA, 694 nt
Filed under: Hyalomma aegyptium
Lineage: Eukaryota; Metazoa; Arthropoda; Arachnida; Ixodida; Ixodidae
Source: RNAcentral